CAUUAACUCCGCCUUAAACUCACAACAGAUGAAGAGGAGCUGCAGGUUUUUUCCUCUCUGAGUGAAGAGAUUUCUCUCAGAUGUAAUCAUCUUCAGCGUGAAAAUAUUCCUGACUGGGUUUUAUUAAACAGAUUUGAUCCAUUGUCUGUAUUUGAGGAUGUUUAUUACGUUCUCCUUUGAUGCCUGAGAAUUACAACCUUUAAGACCAAACCUUAUGAUGGAAUCAGCAGAGGUCCAACCAUGCUCUUUUAGAAACCCUCCACACACCCCUGCUCCUGCUGGCUCCCAG
Molecule: long non-coding RNA, 289 nt
Organism: Pangasianodon hypophthalmus (striped catfish)
Lineage: Eukaryota; Metazoa; Chordata; Actinopteri; Siluriformes; Pangasiidae
Exons: 2
Source: RefSeq, a predicted model, not a curated record